RNAcentral lists this ribosomal RNA (439 nucleotides) under uncultured bacterium. RNAcentral's name for it is "partial 16S ribosomal RNA". It matches the Rfam family "Bacterial small subunit ribosomal RNA", at positions 339 to 795 of the family's 1533-position model. The record is from RNAcentral.
CUACGGGGCGCUGCAGUGGGGAAUAUUGCACAAUGGAGGAAACUCUGAUGCAGCAACGCCGCGUGGAGGAUGACACUUUUCGGAGCGUAAACUCCUUUUAUAUAGGAAGAAGAUGACGGUACUAUAUGAAUAAGCGCCGGCUAACUCCGUGCCAGCAGCCGCGGUAAUACGGAGGGCGCAAGCGUUACUCGGAAUCACUGGGAGUAAAGAGCGUGUAGGCGGAUUAAAAAGUCAGAAGUGAAAUCCUAUAGCUUAACUAUAGAACUGCUUCUGAAACUCUUAAUCUAGAAUAUGGUAGAGGUAGAUGGAAUUUCUGGUGUAGGGGUAAAAUCCGUAGAGAUCAGAAGGAAUACCGAUUGCGAAGGCGAUCUACUAGAACAUUAUUGACGCUGAGACGCGAAAGCGUGGGGAGCAAACAGGAUUAGAUACCCCAGUAGUC